Molecule: long non-coding RNA, 271 nt
Filed under: Elaeis guineensis (African oil palm)
Lineage: Eukaryota; Viridiplantae; Streptophyta; Magnoliopsida; Arecales; Arecaceae
Description: long non-coding RNA (EGUI_LNC038564)
Source: RNAcentral
GGGAUGGUCCCACUGAACAACGGCAAUCAGAAGCACACCAUUCAGAUUGGGUCAAAGCUUGAUCAGGUAACCAAAUAUCGUCUCAUCUUCUUUUUGCAAAAAAAUAUGGACAUGUUCACCUAAACUCCAAUAAAUAUGCUAGGCAUCAAUCUGGAGGUGAUGACACAUCGGCUAGGCGUCAACUCGAGCUACAAAUCCAUCAAAUAGAAGAAAAGAAGCUUCAUUCCCAAAUAAUAGAAAGUGAUAGUCGAAGAGGUGGACAAACUACUGG